UGUACACUGAUGACAGGCUGCUGUGCGUGCGCGUGUCGGACAAGAGCAGCUAUAAGAAAAAUAAAAGUUUAAACUGUCAAAACUUUAAAAUGAAUGCAAAUGUAAUUUCGGCAUGAAGAAUCAAUGAAUCAAUUUACAUGAUAUAACCACUUUAAGGCAGAGAGAGAAAUCCAAUAUUGCAUGUCGCACAUGAACAACGGGUUAUAAAAAUGCUCGCACUGCGAAAAACGGUCUCUUUUUGCAGCCCCAUUCAGGAGCCUGAUGACAAAAGUAAACAUUAACAUCAGUUCACGAGAUUGGCAAAUUUAGUAAGUACCAAUCGAGUCAUUUAAUGAAACCUUGGGUAAUGAAUCGCAUAACACACCUCACCAUCACUGGUUCAAGCAUCUAGUCUGUUGGUAUUGUGGUUGAAAUUCAAAGCCGCCAGGAGAAGUCUGUUGAAAAAGUAUAAUUUCUACCCAUUACAAGUUGUGCAUAUAUGAAUAAACCCAGAAGUAAAAGCAACAUAUACCCAGAUAGCACACGUACGUCUCAGAUACGUCUUGUAAAGAUCUUUACAUCUGCUGACGAUCGUCUUUGAAUAAUACGUCUUCCAUAUCUCUACAAGACGUAUUUAAGAUCUUAAAAAAUUAUAAAUCCUACCUGCCUGCAAUGCAUCUCCGUUUGGUCUUGAAUCCGAUCAAACGCAGACGAAUCAGCAAAGACCUCCAACUCAUUUCAUUUUUUAAAUAAAUGUCUUGUUUAAUUGUUUUAAAAAUAUAGUCAACAGGUUUUUAAGGGUUGGCAUUAAUUUUGAAGCAAAAAUAUAAUUAAUAAAAGCCCAUAUCACGUAUAAUAAAAAAAAACAAUAUAGACAUUUUGCGUUUAGUCCAAAACGUUAAAAAGGCACUUACCGUAGAUAAAGCACCAUGCACAAGAAAAGGUGAUCUCAUACUCAUUCUGACUACAAAAUAUUAUCCUUCAUAAGUGCGACAACUUUUGCCAAAUCCCGUAGGAAGGACGGCAAAAACAUCAACAAAUGCCUUGCUCGCGUAUCUCUGUUCUUCUUUUAAAAUCAAUGCUCUGUCGAUAUAUUUUAGAACAGACUCAAUGUCAGAAUCCACACAUCUGAUUUCUACAGCGGCAGCCAUUUCGUUGUAAACAGAUUGAACACACAUGCUCUUUGGUGACGUGGUUGAUACGUUACUGUUGAUCAUCUGUCCAUCAUCGUAUAAAGCCCGCCCUCACAAUUUGAUUCGUCGGCCAGUUUUGGGACUCGCAUAGUAGCUCCUCAACGGUGAAACCCCAGACCGAUCUUCCCGUUUCUCAAAAUGUUGUGGGCGGGGCUAAGAUCGACUGGCACCCAGGCUACCUCUGACUGUUUUAUCAGUCUGAAAUGAAAAAAGUUAUACAUUUAAUUAAAUAAAACAAUUGUCAACAAGCUGAUUAUCUUAAAGAGCACCUAUUAUGAGAUACACGUUUUUAAACAUCCUUUUGUGUGUAAGUUUGUAUUAGUACAUGCUAACGAUAUUCAAAAAGUACAUACCUCAAAGAAAACGAUGACGCGAGUUAUCGUCUGUAACGUUCGAGGACUACAAAAAACACUCGGAUUGUAGGCAACAGUUUACUUCCUGGGAUUGGUGACGUAGAUAAGACCAACAUUAUCAUAGUUCAGCCCUCUCUGCUUUGCUUGGGUACGCCCUCAAAGACGAGGGUGGAGAGCGCUGAGUCAGAAGAGAGCUAAAAUGGCGGAGGUUGGGAGUCCCUGCUUUGACCCUGUUUGCAAACUCUUGUUUCAUUGUUUAAGCGAUUAAAUCUCUCGAGUAGACGCUGUCUCUUUAGAUGCAAGGGCAAAAUAGCACUUUAUGGACUUACACAGAGGACAUCAUGUUUAAUACGGUUCCGGAAAAAUCCAGUCAGAAGUUGUUCACGGAGUUUUCACAAUAACUGCUUCUCAUGAACCGAAGCUGCGCGACGUCUCCUCCUGAAAGUUGGAUUACCGUGCACUUCUGGAUCACAGGCUAUUCGCAGCUGGACACAUCCUUCUACACUGUAUGCAAACAUGCAACAUCAUAACACACAGUACAAGGAGUCAGACUGGCAUAUGAGGAGCAAAGGAACCCAGGCAGUAGCAUCGUUUCACAAUGUUUCCAUCACCAUCAUCAGUGGAUGCCUUUGCCGUCCGUAGCCUGAGAUUUCAGAUUUGCAGCAAAAAAUGUGACUUUCCCAUUUAUUGGAAUGCUGUGCAGGUUGUACCUUGCAGCCAUCCAUUACAAUGUCACCAAGCCGUAACAAAAGCAGGAGAGGGAAAGUACAAGGCUAUGUUCCCAAAACACACAAAUGACAUACCUUAUGUUGAUGAUGUGAUCAGGCUUGUGUUUGAUGAGGUAUUUGAAGAUAAGCUGAAGGAAACCCCGAUUCCAAUGGACCUGGCAUCACAGUUUGAGAGACCUUCAAAGGAGGACGUGAUUGCAUGCCAUCUUCAGUGCAGGGGUCGUCGGAAGCCAACAUUCCGAUCAGGAAGCUCCAAGCAUAUCUGGAGAACAACACACGACAGGAUGAUAACCCUAAAGUGUCAUCUUAGAUAGCAUCAGCUGACAAAGCUUUGAUAUGCCAUUUAUCUGAAUAGAUAGCUGUAAGAAGUGAAUUGAACAAUUUUUGAAAGAGCACAAUAUGGUUACUAAAGUAUGUUUAUUUGUAUAUUGUUUAACAUUUAAAUAUAUAUUUGUAAUAAAUAAACUUUUGACUGACUACUAUAUUUUCUUUAAAGUUACAUCUUUUGUUCUUUUGGGUACUUUGUUACUAUAAUGAUACUUUAGUGUUAUUGGUUUAAAAAUGUAAUAAAACUUACUCUAGUCCUGCACCUCAAAG
Molecule: long non-coding RNA, 2850 nt
Organism: Paramisgurnus dabryanus
Lineage: Eukaryota; Metazoa; Chordata; Actinopteri; Cypriniformes; Cobitidae
Source: RefSeq, a predicted model, not a curated record